AGUCGAGCGAGAAGCGGGGGUAACUCCGCGAGUAAAGCGGCGCACGGGUGAGUAACACGUGGGUAAUCUGCCCUCUGGCGCGGGAUAACGUUCCGAAAGGAGCGCUAAUACCGCAUAAGACCACGAUGACAUAGGUCAUUGCGGAAAAAGGACCGGGAAACCGGUUCACCGGAGGAUGAGCUCGCGUCCCAUUAGCUUGUUGGUAGGGUAAUGGCCUACCAAGGCGAUGAUGGGUAGCUGGUCUGAGAGGACGGCCAGCCACACUGGGACUGAGACACGGCCCAGACUCCUACGGGAGGCAGCAGUGAGGAAUAUUGCGCAAUGGGCGAAAGCCUGACGCAGCAACGCCGCGUGAGGGAUGAAGGCCUUCGGGUUGUAAAGCUCUGUAGGGAGGAAAGAUGCCCCA
This 406-nucleotide ribosomal RNA is filed under the name uncultured bacterium. Its description in RNAcentral is "bacterial SSU rRNA". It matches the Rfam family "Bacterial small subunit ribosomal RNA", at positions 60 to 455 of the family's 1533-position model. The record is from RNAcentral.